Molecule: transfer RNA, 73 nt
Filed under: Phycodurus eques (leafy seadragon)
Lineage: Eukaryota; Metazoa; Chordata; Actinopteri; Syngnathiformes; Syngnathidae
Description: tRNA-Trp
Rfam family: tRNA
About the family: Transfer RNA (tRNA) molecules are approximately 80 nucleotides in length.
Source: RNAcentral
AGAAAUUUAGGUUAAUGUAUUAGACCAAGGGCCUUCAAAGCCCUAAGUAGAGGAGAAAAUCCUCUAAAUUCUG